GUGGGUGGGUAGGGAGAGCGCAGGGUAGAGAGAGACGUGCGUCGAGGAGCGACGCGGUGUACGCCGCCGACUUAGUCCGCUACAGGCCGCUUAAGACAAUGGCGCUUCGUGUCUAGUCCCAGGGGAGUGUGGUGUCACAGGAGAGUCGGCCGAUCUAGGCCACGAGUACCGGUGGUUUCGGGUGGGCGCUGGACAGGAGGGGGUACCGAUCCCAAAGCCCGUAGUCGAGGUAGCGACCACCGGUACAGCAGGAGGAGAGCAGGCUGCACGUCCCUCGUUACCGUACACCUGUCGGAACAACAACGAGCCCUGUUUCGUCAGUACCUCGAAAGGAGGAGGGGGAAGUCCGUCACUUACGUAGAACAACCCCACCAGACGUCGAGGUUAGCGGAGGUCGUCGUGGUGUAUUAGUUUCAAGGUUUGUAAUCCCGACGUGACGACGGGGUCGGUCGGUAAAGUGAAACUACAAAUAUCGGUGUGUGUGGUUGAGAUACGUCCCCCUGCGGUACCUCGUUCAGCUCAUUCACCUCGUACAGUACCUGCUACGGUACCAACCAUAUGAGAGAGGGAGAGGGAUGGCACGAUGAUGAGCAACACAGGUGCCGGUAACUCGGUACGAUCAUAGAUACGACUACAGGUACGUUUAAAUAUCCUAAACCCCGACAUCCAAAGUCACCUAUUUAUAUAGUCAACCAAGUGUGUUUUUUCGAAACUGAUAUCCACAUGUCUUAAUCGUUACCUAGAGAUCCGACGACUACUGGUACAUUUAAGUUAAGUCAAAUAAACCCCGACAUCCAAACAAGGUUUCGCGACACUCGUGGGUAUCCAAACAGACAAAGGACAACCUACUGACUUUGGUUGAUCUCGAUUUACAAAAACAAGUCAAAGUCUACCGAUUUUGGCAAAAGAAAGUCAAACAAUUGAUUGAUCUCUCUUCUCUUCUCUUCACCAUGACAGUGAGUGUAACGGGAACUUACGGCCACAGAAAACUAUUAGUAUUGUCUAAGUUUUCUAUAUACCUACUAAUAUACCCACGCACCGUUCAUAUGACGUUACUACUACUACUGCCACCUACGAAAGUCCUAAUCAAUUCAACAUCCCUACAACAAGGACAACCUACAACAAGGAGCUAAUUCAAAAUCAAGUUCAACAUCCCUACAACUACCUUCGGAAAAACAAAUUCAAAAAGACAGUUCUUUUUACAAAUCUAAUACGUAGUUUAGACCUACUACAAGGAGGACAUUAUAGGUGUUAACAUUAGGUUGUCAAAAUAGGUUAUAUACUAAAGAAGGAGAACACUU
RNAcentral lists this ribosomal RNA (1301 nucleotides) under Triticum aestivum (bread wheat). RNAcentral's name for it is "partial small subunit ribosomal RNA". The record is from RNAcentral. Lineage: Eukaryota; Viridiplantae; Streptophyta; Magnoliopsida; Poales; Poaceae.